CCUACGGGAGGCAGCAGUGAGGAAUAUUGGUCAAUGGUCGGGAGACUGAACCAGCCAAGCCGCGUGAGGGAUGAAGGUACAGAGUAUCGUAAACCUCUUUUGUCAGGGAACAAAGGCGGGGACGUGUCCCCGGAUGAGUGUACCUGAAGAAACAGCAUCGGCUAACUCCGUGCCAGCAGCCGCGGUAAUACGGAGGAUGCGAGCGUUAUCCGGAUUUAUUGGGUUUAAAGGGUGCGCAGGCGGUCUGUUAAGUCAGCGGGAAAAGCCCGGGGCACAACCCCGGCCCGCCGUUGAAACUGGCAGUCUCGAGUUGGAGAGAAGUAUGCGGAAUGCGCGGUGUAGCGGUGAAAUGCAUAGAUAUCGCGCAGAACUCCGAUUGCGAAGGCAGCAUGCCGGCUCCACACUGACGCUGAGGCACGAAAGCGUGGGUAUCGAACAGGAUUAGAUACCCUUGUAGUC
This 459-nucleotide ribosomal RNA is filed under the name uncultured bacterium. RNAcentral describes it as "partial 16S ribosomal RNA". It matches the Rfam family "Bacterial small subunit ribosomal RNA", at positions 338 to 795 of the family's 1533-position model. The record is from RNAcentral.